GACGAACGCUGGCGGCGUGCUUAAUACAUGCAAGUCGAACGGAAAGGCCCGGCUUUUGUGGGGUGCUCGAGUGGCGAACGGGUGAGUAACACGUGAGUAACCUGCCCUUGACUUUGGGGUAACAUCAGGAAACUGGGGCUAAUACCGGGUAUGAGCUCCUGCUGCAUGGGGGGGGUUGGAAAGUUCCGGCGGUGGGGGAUGUACUCGCGGCUUAUGCGCUAGAUGGUGGAGUAGUGGCUUACCAAGGCUUUGACGGGUAGGCGGCAUGGGAGGGUGAACGGCCACAUUGGGCCUGCGAGACGGCGCAGACGGCUAUGGGAGGCAGCAGUGGGGAGCAUUGCGGAACGGGGCGAAGCGUGAUGCAACAACGCUGCGUGCGGGAUGACCUGUUACGGGGUGAAAACCGCUUUGGAAGGUGACGAGGCCUGAGUGACGGUAAUGGAUCAAGAAGCACCGGCUAACUACGUG
Molecule: ribosomal RNA, 468 nt
Filed under: uncultured bacterium
Lineage: Bacteria
Description: partial 16S ribosomal RNA
Rfam family: Bacterial small subunit ribosomal RNA
Source: RNAcentral